This 491-nucleotide ribosomal RNA is filed under the name uncultured bacterium. RNAcentral's name for it is "partial 16S ribosomal RNA". It matches the Rfam family "Bacterial small subunit ribosomal RNA", at positions 28 to 507 of the family's 1533-position model. The record is from RNAcentral.
GAUGAACGCUGGCUACAGGCUUAACACAUGCAAGUCGAGGGGAAACGACGGGGAAGCUUGCUUCCCCGGGCGUCGACCGGCGCACGGGUGAGUAACGCGUAUCCAACCUGCCUCUGACUGAGGGAUAACCCGUCGAAAGUCGGCCUAAUACCUCAUGGCAUCGUCUGCGGGCAUCCAACGACGAUUAAAGAUUUCAUCGGUCAGGGAUGGGGAUGCGUCUGAUUAGCUUGUUGGCGGGGUAACGGCCCACCAAGGCGACGAUCAGUAGGGGUUCUGAGAGGAAGGUCCCCCACAUUGGAACUGAGACACGGUCCAAACUCCUACGGGAGGCAGCAGUGAGGAAUAUUGGUCAAUGGGCGGGAGCCUGAACCAGCCAAGUAGCGUGCAGGAGGACGGCCCUAUGGGUUGUAAACUGCUUUUAUGCGGGGAUAAAGUGAGGGACGUGUCCCUCAUUGCAGGUACCGCAUGAAUAAGGACCGGCUAAUUCCGUG